UACGUAGGGCGCAAGCGUUGUCCGGAAUUAUUGGGCGUAAAGGGCGCGUAGGCGGCUUGGUAAGUCAAAGGUGAAAUCCCUCGGCUCAACUGAGGAAUUGCCUUUGAAACUGCCUGGCUCGAGGCCGGGAGGGGGUAGCGGAAUUCCCAGUGUAGCGGUGAAAUGCGUAGAUAUUGGGAGGAACACCGGUGGCGAAGGCGGCUACCUGGACCGGUUCUGACGCUGAUGCGCGAAAGCGUGGGGAGCAAACAGG
Molecule: ribosomal RNA, 253 nt
Filed under: uncultured bacterium
Lineage: Bacteria
Description: partial 16S ribosomal RNA
Rfam family: Bacterial small subunit ribosomal RNA
Source: RNAcentral